GAUGAACGCUGGCGGCGUGCUUAACACAUGCAAGUCGAACGAAGCACUUUAACUUGAUUUCUUCGGAAAGAUUGUUAUUGUGACUGAGUGGCGGACGGGUGAGUAACGCGUGGGUAACCUGCCUCAUACAGGGGGAUAACAGUUGGAAACGACUGCUCAUACCGCAUAAGCGCACGGUAUCGCAUGAUACAGUGUGAAAAACUCCGGUGGUAUGAGAUGGACCCGCGUCUGAUUAGCUAGUUGGCGGAGUAACGGCCCACCAAGGCAACGAUCAGUAGCCGACCUGAGAGGGUGACCGGCAACAUUGGGACUGAGACACGGCCCAAACUCCUACGGGAGGCAGCAGUGGGGAAUAUUGCACAAUGGGCGAAAGCCUGAUGCAGCGACGCCGCGUGAACGAUGAAGUAUUUCGGUAUGUAAAGUUCUAUCAGCAGGGAAGAAGAAUGACGGUACCUGACUAAGAAGCACCGGCUAAAUACGUGCCAGCCGCCGCCGUAA
This 498-nucleotide ribosomal RNA is filed under the name uncultured bacterium. RNAcentral's name for it is "partial 16S ribosomal RNA". It matches the Rfam family "Bacterial small subunit ribosomal RNA", at positions 28 to 523 of the family's 1533-position model. The record is from RNAcentral.